This 711-nucleotide ribosomal RNA is filed under the name Halalkalibacterium halodurans. RNAcentral's name for it is "bacterial SSU rRNA". It matches the Rfam family "Bacterial small subunit ribosomal RNA", at positions 72 to 768 of the family's 1533-position model. Lineage: Bacteria; Bacillati; Bacillota; Bacilli; Caryophanales; Bacillaceae. The record is from RNAcentral.
AAGGGAGCUUGCUCCUGGAGGUUAGCGGCGAACGGGUGAGUAACACGUGGGCAACCUGCCUGUAAGACUGGGAUAACAUCGAGAAAUCGGUGCUAAUACCGGAUAAUAAAAAGAACUGCAUGGUUCUUUUUUGAAAGAUGGUUUCGGCUAUCACUUACAGAUGGGCCCGCGGCGCAUUAGCUAGUUGGUGGGGUAACGGCUCACCAAGGCGACGAUGCGUAGCCGACCUGAGAGGGUGAUCGGCCACACUGGGACUGAGACACGGCCCAGACUCCUACGGGAGGCAGCAGUAGGGAAUCUUCCGCAAUGGACGAAAGUCUGACGGAGCAACGCCGCGUGAGUGAUGAAGGUUUUCGGAUCGUAAAACUCUGUUGUUAGGGAAGAACAAGUGCCGUUCGAAAGGGCGGCACCUUGACGGUACCUAACGAGAAAGCCACGGCUAACUACGUGCCAGCAGCCGCGGUAAUACGUAGGUGGCAAGCGUUGUCCGGAAUUAUUGGGCGUAAAGCGCGCGCAGGCGGUCUCUUAAGUCUGAUGUGAAAGCCCCCGGCUCAACCGGGGAGGGUCAUUGGAAACUGGGAGACUUGAGUACAGAAGAGGAGAGUGGAAUUCCACGUGUAGCGGUGAAAUGCGUAGAGAUGUGGAGGAACACCAGUGGCGAAGGCGACUCUCUGGUCUGUAACUGACGCUGAGGCGCGAAAGCGUGGGGGA